CGCCCGUCACACCAUGGGAGUGGGUUGCAAAAGAAGUAGGUAGCUUAACCUUCGGGAGGGCGCUUACCACUUUGUGAUUCAUAACUGGGGUGAAGUCGUAACAAGGUAACCGUAGGGGAACCUGCGGUUGGAUCACCUCCUUACCUUAAAGAA
Molecule: ribosomal RNA, 153 nt
Filed under: Escherichia coli
Lineage: Bacteria; Pseudomonadati; Pseudomonadota; Gammaproteobacteria; Enterobacterales; Enterobacteriaceae
Description: partial 16S ribosomal RNA
Rfam family: Bacterial small subunit ribosomal RNA
Source: RNAcentral